Long non-coding RNA from Penaeus monodon (black tiger shrimp), 241 nucleotides. RefSeq lists it as uncharacterized. NCBI's taxonomy places the organism in Eukaryota, Metazoa, Arthropoda, Malacostraca, Decapoda, Penaeidae. The transcript has 3 exons. The record is from RefSeq and is a predicted model, not a curated record.
UCAAUGAAGAAUAUUGGAAUUGUACCUGAUAGCCAGUUUUGCAACAUGCUUAUCCGCAGGAGAAGUUUUCGCAGAGAUACCAGUGCAGCUAAAGAAGUAUUAGACUUCAUGCAGGAACAUCACCUUGUGCCAGAUCUCAUAACCUUUGGCUGCCUGGCCUUAAGUUGUCACCGCUUGCAUGAUGCAAAAAAUUUUCUGAAGGACAUGGACUCUUUGGGCUUCAGGCCAAAUCUGGAGAUAG